AUGCACGCAAGUCUUCUGCUCACCAUUGCAAAAGCCGUUGAGAAGUAUGAUGAUUUGAAGCUUAGAAGGAAUGCAUGCGGAGAGAUAAGUGCAAGCCCUCUGAUGAAGUGCAUUGCGUCUAUUCGAGUUUUGGCAUAUGGGUGUUCAGCCGAUGCAGUUGACGACUAUGUCCGCAUUGGUGAAGACACAAUCUUGGAGGCGGUUCGGAGGUUCACUAAAGCAGUUAUUGGUGUUUUUGGGCCGGAGUACUUGAGGGCACCCAACGAGGAAGACACCAAGAGGCUAAUGGCUAAGUGUGAAGCAAGAAGAUGGCCAGGGAUGCUCGGAUCACUUGACUGUAUGCACUGGACCUGGAAGAACUGUCCUAUAGGGUGA
This 375-nucleotide ribosomal RNA is filed under the name Triticum aestivum (bread wheat). Its description in RNAcentral is "partial small subunit ribosomal RNA". Lineage: Eukaryota; Viridiplantae; Streptophyta; Magnoliopsida; Poales; Poaceae. The record is from RNAcentral.